RNAcentral lists this ribosomal RNA (253 nucleotides) under uncultured bacterium. RNAcentral's name for it is "partial 16S ribosomal RNA". It matches the Rfam family "Bacterial small subunit ribosomal RNA", at positions 524 to 776 of the family's 1533-position model. The record is from RNAcentral.
UACGGAGGGUGCAAGCGUUAUCCGGAAUCACUGGGUUUAAAGGGUGAGUAGGCGGCCAUAUAAGUCAGAGGUGAAAGACCGACGCUUAACGACGGAAUUGCCUUUGAUACUGUAUGGCUUGAAUCAAGAUGAGGUAAUCAGAAUGUGACAUGUAGCGGUGAAAUGCUUAGAUAUGUCAUAGAACACCAAUUGCGAAGGCAGGUUACUAGACUUUGAUUGACGCUGAGGCACGAAAGCGUGGGUAGCGAACAGG